Molecule: ribosomal RNA, 186 nt
Filed under: uncultured Staphylococcus sp.
Lineage: Bacteria; Bacillati; Bacillota; Bacilli; Caryophanales; Staphylococcaceae
Description: partial 16S ribosomal RNA
Rfam family: Bacterial small subunit ribosomal RNA
Source: RNAcentral
AAACCGGAGCUAAUACCGGAUAAUAUAUUGAACCGCAUGGUUCAAUAGUGAAAGACGGUUUUGCUGUCACUUAUAGAUGGAUCCGCGCCGCAUUAGCUAGUUGGUAAGGUAACGGCUUACCAAGGCAACGAUGCGUAGCCGACCUGAGAGGGUGAUCGGCCACACUGGAACUGAGACACGGUCCAG